RNAcentral lists this ribosomal RNA (533 nucleotides) under uncultured archaeon. RNAcentral's name for it is "bacterial SSU rRNA". It matches the Rfam family "Archaeal small subunit ribosomal RNA", at positions 465 to 997 of the family's 1478-position model. The record is from RNAcentral.
CCGCGGGAACACCGGCGGCCCGAGUGGUGAUCGUGAUUAUUGGGUCUAAAGGGUCCGUAGCCGGUUUGGUCAGUCCUCCGGGAAAUCUGAUAGCUCAACUAUUAGGCUUUCGGGGGAUACUGCCAGACUUGGAACCGGGAGAGGUAAGAGGUACUACAGGGGUAGGAGUGAAAUCUUGUAAUCCCUGUGGGACCACCUGUGGCGAAGGCGUCCUACCAGAACGGGUUCGACGGUGAGGGACGAAAGCUGGGGGCACGAGCCGAAUUAGAUACCCGGGUAGUCCCAGCCGUAAACGAUGCUCGCUAGGUGUCAGGCAUGGCGCGACCGUGUCUGGUGCCGCAGGGAAGCCGUGAAGCGAGCCACCUGGGAAGUACGGCCGCAAGGCUGAAACUUAAAGGAAUUGGCGGGGGAGCACAACAACGGGUGGAGCCUGCGGUUUAACUGGACUCAACGCCGGACAACUCACCGGGGGCGACAGCGAUAUGUAGGCCAAGCUGAAGACUUUGCCUGAAUCGCUGAGGAGUGGUGCAUGG